GCAGUCGCACGAGAACGCUUUCAGCUUUGCUGGAGCUAGUAAAGUGGCGUACGGGUGUAGUAACGCGUGGGUAAUCUAUCUCCGAAUUGGGGAUAACAUUGCGAAAGCGAUGCUAAUACCGGAUAAAAUCCAUUAAACCUCGGUUUUUUUGGAUCAAAGGUGGCCUCUACAUGUAAGCUACUGUUUGGAGACGAGCUCGCGUACCAUUAGCUUGUUGGUAGGGUAAUGGCCUACCAAGGCAACGAUGGUUAGCUGGUCUGAGAGGAUGAUCAGCCACACUGGAACUGACACACGGUCCAGACUCCUACGGGAGGCAGCAGUGAGGAAUUUUGCGCAAUGGGGGAAACCCUGACGCAGCAACGCCGCGUGAGUGAUGAAGGCUUUCGGGUCGUAAAACUCUGUCAAGUGGGAAGAACCCGUGCCGUACAAAUAGUGCGGUGCGCUGACGGUACCACUGAAGGAAGCACCGGCUAACUCCGUGCCAGCAGCCGCGGUAAUACGGGGGGUGCAAGCGUUAUUCGGAAUCAUUGGGCGUAAAGAGCGCGUAGGCGGUCUUCUAUGUCAGGUGUGAAAGCCCGGGGCUCAACCCCGGAAGUGCAUUUGAAACUGGGAGACUUGAGUAUGGGAGAGGGAAGUGGAAUUCCUGGUGUAGCGGUGAAAUGCGUAGAUAUCAGGAGGAACACCGGUGGCGAAGGCGACUUCCUGGACCAAUACUGACGCUGAGGCGCGAAGGCGUGGGGAGCAAACAGGAUUAGAUACCCUGGUAGUCCACGCAGUAA
RNAcentral lists this ribosomal RNA (779 nucleotides) under uncultured delta proteobacterium. Its description in RNAcentral is "bacterial SSU rRNA". It matches the Rfam family "Bacterial small subunit ribosomal RNA", at positions 57 to 805 of the family's 1533-position model. Lineage: Bacteria; Deltaproteobacteria. The record is from RNAcentral.